Molecule: ribosomal RNA, 449 nt
Filed under: uncultured bacterium
Lineage: Bacteria
Description: partial 16S ribosomal RNA
Rfam family: Bacterial small subunit ribosomal RNA
Source: RNAcentral
CUCCAGACUCCUACGGGAGGCAGCAGUGGGGGAUAUUGCACAAUGGGGGAAACCCUGAUGCAGCGACGCCGCGUGGGUGAAGAAGCGCCUCGGCGCGUAAAGCCCUGUCAGCAGGGAAGAAAAUGACGGUACCUGAAGAAGAAGCCCCGGCUAACUACGUGCCAGCAGCCGCGGUAAUACGUAGGGGGCAAGCGUUAUCCGGAUUUACUGGGUGUAAAGGGGGCGCAGACGGCGAUGCAAGCCAGGAGUGAAAGGCGGGGGCCCAACCCCCGGACUGCUUUGGAAACUGUAUAGCUGGAGUGCAGGAGAGGUAAGUGGAAUUCCUAGUGUAGCGGUGAAGUGCGUAGAUAUUAGGAGGAACACCGGCGGCGAAGGCGGCCUGCUGGACCGCGACUGACGUUGAGGCUCGAAAGCGUGGGGAGCGAACAGGAUUAGAUACCCGAGUAUAC